CAUUUCAACAGGCAAAAAUAGAACACUUUAAUAAAAACAAUACAGAGAAGAUUAGCACUGCCUUUGUGCAAGGAUAACACUCAAAUUCACAAAGCAUUCCAUAAAAAA
Suricata suricatta (meerkat) is the source of this 108-nucleotide small nuclear RNA. NCBI's taxonomy places the organism in Eukaryota, Metazoa, Chordata, Mammalia, Carnivora, Herpestidae. The record is from Ensembl.